UACGGGAGGCAGCAGUGGGGAAUAUUGCACAAUGGGCGCAAGCCUGAUGCAGCCAUGCUGCGUGUAUGAAAAAGGCCUUCGGGUUGUAAAGUACUUUCAGUCGUGAGGAAGGUGUUAAGGUUAAUAACCUUAGCAAUUGACGUUAGCGACAGAAGAAGCACCGGCUAACUCCGUGCCAGCAGCCGCGGUAAUACGGAGGGUGCGAGCGUUAAUCGGAAUUACUGGGCGUAAAGGGCACGCAGGCGGUUAAUUAAGUUGGAUGUGAAAUCCCCGGGCUUAACCUGGGAAUGGCAUUCAAGACUGGUUAGCUAGAGUCUUGUAGAGGGGGGUAGAAUUCCAUGUGUAGCGGUGAAAUGCGUAGAGAUGUGGAGGAAUACCGGUGGCGAAGGCGGCCCCUGGACAAAGACUGACGCUCAUGUGCGAAAGCGUGGGGAGCAAACAGGGAUUAGAUACC
Molecule: ribosomal RNA, 454 nt
Filed under: uncultured bacterium
Lineage: Bacteria
Description: bacterial SSU rRNA
Rfam family: Bacterial small subunit ribosomal RNA
Source: RNAcentral